GUGCUCACUUUGGCAGCACUUAUACUAAAAUUGGAAUGAUAUAGAGAAGGUUAGCAUGGUGCCUGCGCAAGGAUGACAUGCAAAUUUGUGAAGCGUUCCAUAUUUUA
Molecule: small nuclear RNA, 107 nt
Filed under: Salvator merianae (Argentine black and white tegu)
Lineage: Eukaryota; Metazoa; Chordata; Lepidosauria; Squamata; Teiidae
Source: RNAcentral